CCUACGGGAGGCAGCAGUGGGGAAUCUUAGACAAUGGGGGAAACCCUGAUCUAGCCAUGCCGCGUGAUCGAUGAAGGCCUUAGGGUUGUAAAGAUCUUUCAGAUGGGAAGAUAAUGACGGUACCAUCAGAAGAAGCCCCGGCUAACUCCGUGCCAGCAGCCGCGGUAAUACGGAGGGGGCUAGCGUUAUUCGGAAUUACUGGGCGUAAAGCGCACGUAGGCGGACUGGAAAGUUGGGGGUGAAAGCCCAGGGCUCAACCCUGGAACUGCCCUCAAACUCCCAGUCUUGAGGUCGAGAGAGGUGAGUGGAAUUCCGAGUGUAGAGGUGAAAUUCGUAGAUAUUCGGAGGAACACCGAGUGGCGAAGGCGGCUCACUGGCUCGAUACUGACGCUGAGGUGCGAAGCGUGGGAGCAAACAGGAUUAGAUACCCGUGGUAGUCCACGCCGUAAACGAUGAAUGCCAGUCGUCGGGUAGCAUGCUAUUCGGUGACACACCUAACGGAUUAAGCAUUCCGCCUGGGGAUACGGCCGCAAGGUUAAAACCUCGAAAUGAAUUGACGG
Molecule: ribosomal RNA, 560 nt
Filed under: uncultured bacterium
Lineage: Bacteria
Description: bacterial SSU rRNA
Rfam family: Bacterial small subunit ribosomal RNA
Source: RNAcentral